This 997-nucleotide ribosomal RNA is filed under the name metagenome. Its description in RNAcentral is "bacterial SSU rRNA". It matches the Rfam family "Bacterial small subunit ribosomal RNA", at positions 509 to 1495 of the family's 1533-position model. The record is from RNAcentral.
CAGUAGUUGUGGUAAUACGAAUGUGGCAAGCGUUGUUCGGAAUCACUGGGCAUAAAGCGCACGUAGGCGGCGCAGUAAGUUAAUUUGUGAAAUUCCCCGGUUUAAUUGGGGAAUUGCGGUUAAUAUUGCUGUGCUAGAGUAUGGAAGGGGAGAGUGGAAUUCUGGGUGUAGUGGUGGAAUGUGAAGAUAUCCAGGAGAAGGUUGGUAGUGAAAGGACUCUCUGGUCCAAUACUGACGCUGAGGUGCGAAAGUGUAGGUAGUGAACGGGAUUAGAUAUCCCGGUAGUCUACACCGUAAACGAUGAGCACUAGGUGGUGGAAACGCCGAUAGUUUUCUCCGCCGUAGUUAAUGUAUUAAGUGCUCCGCCUGGGGAGUAUGGUCGCAAGAUUAAAACUCAAAGGAAUUGACGGGGGCCCACACAAGCGGUGGAGGAUGCGGCUUAAUUUUUGAUAUGUGUAGAAUCUUACCGAGGCUUGACAUGCAGGGAUUAACCCAGUGAAAGCUGGGGGAUUGCCUUAUGAUGUAACCUGCACAGGUGCUGUAUGGCUGUCGACAGUUCGUGUUGUGAGAUGUUAGGUUAAGUUUUGUAAUGAGCGAAACCCCUGUGCUUAAUUGUUAGUGUGUUAUGGUGGGGAUUUUAAGCAGACUGCCCCGGUUAACGGGGAGGAAGGUGGGGAUGACGUUAAGUCAGCAUGGCCCUUAUGCCUCGGGCUGCACGCGUCCUACAAUGGGCUGUAUAAUGAGUUCCGAUCCCGCGAGGGGGAGGCAAUUUUCAAAGCAGUCCUCAGUUCGGAUUGCAGGCUGAAAUUUGCCUGCAUGAAGGUGGAAUCGCUAGUAAUCGCCGGUUAGUUAUAUGGCGGUGAAUACGUCCCUGGGCCUUGUACACACCGCCCGUCAAGCCACCCGAGUUGGGUGCGCUCGAAGUCCGAGACUCAACCUGCUUGUAGGGGAGAUUGGUCGAAGGUGAACCUGAUGAGGUGGACUAAGUCGUAAUAAG